Molecule: ribosomal RNA, 418 nt
Filed under: bacterium
Lineage: Bacteria
Description: partial 16S ribosomal RNA
Rfam family: Bacterial small subunit ribosomal RNA
Source: RNAcentral
UGGGGAAAUUGCACCAUGGGCGAAAGCCUGAUGCAGCGACGCCGCGUGGGGGAUGAAGGCCUUCGGGUUGUAAACUUCUUUUGCUCUGAACAAGGCGGACCAAGGGGUGUGUUGAGUGUAGGGGUUGAUUAGCGCCGGCUAACUACGUGCCAGCAGCCGGGGUAAUACGUAGGGCGCGAGCGGUGUUCGGAAGUAUUGGGCGUAAAGGGCUUGUAGGUGGCUGGUUGCGUCUGUCGUUAAAGCUCAUGGCUUAACGUUGGGUUUGCGGUGGGUACGGGCUGGCUUGAGUGCAGUAGGGGAGGCUGGAAUUCCUGGUGUAGCGGUGGAAUGCGCAGAUAUCAGGAGGAAUACCGGUGGCGAAGGCGGGUCUCUGGGCUGUUACUGACACUGAGGAGCGAAAGCAUGGGGAGCGAACAGG